GCCCUGGUGGUGGAAUGGUAGACACGAGGGACUUAAAAUCCCUUGGCCCGAAACGGCUGUGCGGGUUCGAGUCCCGCCCGGGGCA
RNAcentral lists this transfer RNA (85 nucleotides) under Bacteroidales bacterium. Its description in RNAcentral is "tRNA-Leu". It matches the Rfam family "tRNA". Rfam says of the family: Transfer RNA (tRNA) molecules are approximately 80 nucleotides in length. Their secondary structure includes four short double-helical elements and three loops (D, anti-codon, and T loops). RNAcentral also lists the same sequence under 1 other name. Lineage: Bacteria; Pseudomonadati; Bacteroidota; Bacteroidia; Bacteroidales. The record is from RNAcentral.